Molecule: ribosomal RNA, 253 nt
Filed under: uncultured bacterium
Lineage: Bacteria
Description: partial 16S ribosomal RNA
Rfam family: Bacterial small subunit ribosomal RNA
Source: RNAcentral
UACGAGGGGUGCAAGCGUUGCUCGGAAUUAUUGGGCGUAAAGGGUAGGUAGGUGGUCUGAUUUGUCAGGGGUGAAAGCCUUGGGCUUAACCCAAGAAGUGCCCCUGAAACGGUCAGACUUGAGUCUUGGAGAGGGUCGUGGAAUUCCCGGUGUAGCGGUGAAAUGCGUAGAGAUCGGGAGGAACACCGAUGGCGAAGGCAGCUCGCUGGGACGGUACUGACGCUGAGACGCGAAAGCGUGGGGAGCGAACAGG